GCGAGCACGCAGGCGGGUGGGCGGGGUUACCUGCUUGAAGGUGUGCCGGGCGGGGUGCGGGGAUGAUGGCGGGCGGUGCUGAUUGGCUCGGGCUGAGGCUGCGGCAGAGCCCGGCGCUUCCCGCCGGCACCCGCGCAUCCCGGAUCCCGGCACCGCUUCAUCCCCGCAGCCGGAACAACGGGCGGCUUGUCCUCGGAACAAAGGCGGCCCUGAGGCAACGCGGCUGCCGAGGCCGGGGCAGCUCCCAGGAGCUGCGGCUCCGUGUUCAUGGCAGCCCUGACUGACGAAAAUACUCAUUCCUUAAUGCUCCUGGCCGGCAAAGCUCGGGCUGCUUGUAAUCAGAGUACAAUGGCAUCUGCUGAUGGUACAAAAUGUAUAAAUGGAAAGUUAGGUUUUUAUCACCGAAUUCUGACUGCAGUGAUGUUCCCGGCUUGAGUCGAUGAACAAAAAGCUCCCAGCAUCAAAAGCUUAUUUGUUGUGUAUGUGCCUUCGUGUAAGAAGGAAACAAAAACAAGACUCGAUGGUGGCGUUUUCAGGGUUUGGGUAUGAGGGAACAAUACUUCAUUGCAACUAUCAUGAAGCUUCUCUAUUAAAGGUUUAAGCAGUGCUUACACACCUUACAGUUUUCAUCCAUACUGCUGUUCUAGUUAAAAGAGUUUAAUUUUUAUUUGCUUUAUCCCCUCUUUCAAGCCUACCCCAGUAGAUGCUCUUUGUAGAUGUUCACAUGUUUACAUGAGAAGUUGCUGGAAGACCGCAUGCUGAAGAUGGGUGCAUUGAAAAGUCCAUCCUUUUUCAUUAGGCUCUUGAGCUGGGUGACUUAUUCCUGCCAGGGGUUCCUUUUUUGCAAAAGCUCUUGCAUCAGAUUUGUAAUGAAACUAGCAAAAAGACCAGCACGACUCAGACUUUAAUUGGCCUGACUGGAUACUUCUUCCCUAGGCCCAUUUCUGAUACAUUUAAUCAAAGAAUGCUUAAAUUUGACCCCAAAUCUUGACUUACUUUGGAAGUAUUACCAAGAAAUGAACAGGGUCAUGUUUGAUACUUUUUUUUUCCAUUUGGAAAUGUAGUUCUAAAACAAGUUCAGAUAAAGUGCCUGUGUGGUAGGGAGAGCUUCAAUCCCGUCAGUAAGUUUCUCUGGACAACUUCUGGUGCUGCCUCCUGCUGUGAUUGUGGCUUGCAAAGGAAAUCAAGGCAGUGGUGGUCAGAGCCUGUGGCAGUGCCACAACAGACCUCCCUCUCUGGGGGUGGGUGCAGAAAUCUGGGGCAGCCAUGCUUUCUAAUCAACAU
Molecule: long non-coding RNA, 1284 nt
Filed under: Zonotrichia albicollis (white-throated sparrow)
Lineage: Eukaryota; Metazoa; Chordata; Aves; Passeriformes; Passerellidae
Description: lncRNA (ENSZALG00000006477.1)
Source: RNAcentral